RNAcentral lists this ribosomal RNA (495 nucleotides) under uncultured bacterium. Its description in RNAcentral is "partial 16S ribosomal RNA". It matches the Rfam family "Bacterial small subunit ribosomal RNA", at positions 28 to 507 of the family's 1533-position model. The record is from RNAcentral.
GACGAACUCUGGCGGCGUGCCUAAUACAUGCAAGUAGAACGCUGAAGGAGGAGCUUGCUUCUCUGGAUGAGUUGCGAACGGGUGAGUAACGCGUAGGUAACCUGCCUGGUAGCGGGGGAUAACUAUUGGAAACGAUAGCUAAUACCGCAUAAUAGUAGAUGUCGCAUGACAUUUGCUUAAAAGGUGCAAUUGCAUCACUACCAGAUGGACCUGCGUUGUAUUAGCUAGUUGGUGAGGUAACGGCUCACCAAGGCAACGAUACAUAGCCGACCUGAGAGGGUGAUCGGCCACACUGGGACUGAGACACGGCCCAGACUCCUACGGGAGGCAGCAGUAGGGAAUCUUCGGCAAUGGACGGAAGUCUGACCGAGCAACGCCGCGUGAGUGAAGAAGGUUUUCGGAUCGUAAAGCUCUGUUGUAAGAGAAGAACGAGUGUGAGAGUGGAAAGUUCACACUGUGACGGUAUCUUACCAGAAAGGGACGGCUAACUACGUG